AAAGCCUGUUUAGGCUACCCAGUUUAAGUGAGGAAUUGUUGAUUUUCUUUUUAUUUCCUAUUUAUUUUUCCUUUUCUUUAUUUCCGUCGUUUCCUUCUUUUUCCCCUUCACUUGUGCUGGGCCGUUCCUCUCCGAGCCAUCCCCGACGCCGAGCAGCGCCGGCCUUCUUCUCCUAGCCGGCACUAAAGUCGCCGUUGUGCCCUAGAUCUUUGCCGCCGGUCACCGCGAGCCCUAGCUGGCCAUCGGCGCCCAUUGUCCCUUUUGCUGUGGAGAUCCCCACGUCGCCGUCGCUUGACCUAGCCGACCAUCAAGAAGCCUGCUGCCAUCGUCGACGAAGCUUCAACCACCUACUCGAGGUGCUGUUCCACCGCCAAUAUUUUUGGUCUUUCUGAUCAGUUGAGGAUCAACAGAAGGUUCUGGGUAUAAGAUCAACCCUUUGAUUUACAGCAGCGACCAUCCUAUGUUGUGAGCCAAUAGAGAAGUCUUCGAAUUGGACUUUGACGCGAGACGAGUAUCUCGAUUGUCGGAUUGGACCAUUUUGAUUGGAGGCGGG
Long non-coding RNA from Zingiber officinale, 553 nucleotides. RefSeq lists it as uncharacterized. The record is from RefSeq and is a predicted model, not a curated record. Lineage: Eukaryota; Viridiplantae; Streptophyta; Magnoliopsida; Zingiberales; Zingiberaceae. The transcript is spliced from 3 exons.